This 250-nucleotide ribosomal RNA is filed under the name uncultured bacterium. RNAcentral describes it as "partial 16S ribosomal RNA". It matches the Rfam family "Bacterial small subunit ribosomal RNA", at positions 355 to 622 of the family's 1533-position model. The record is from RNAcentral.
UGGGGAAUCUUGCACAAUGGGGGCAACCCUGAUGCAGCGACGCCGCGUGAGCGAUGAAGCCCUUCGGGGUGUAAAGCUCUUUCGGCAGGGACGAUAAUGACGGUACCUGCAGAAGCAGCUGCGGCUAACUACGUGCCAGCAGCCGCGGUAAUACGUAGGCAGCGAGCGUUGUUCGGAGUUACUGGGCGUAAAGGGUGCGUAGGCGGCCGAUUAAGUUUGUCGUGAAAUCUCCCGGCUCAACUGGGAGGGU